Molecule: non-coding RNA, 471 nt
Organism: Zootermopsis nevadensis
Lineage: Eukaryota; Metazoa; Arthropoda; Insecta; Blattodea; Termopsidae
Source: RefSeq, a predicted model, not a curated record
GCUGAAAUUACUUUACUUUGCGUACGUUGCCUUAAAUACACCCACGCGUUUGUGCUACAACGAGCCGAUUUAGUUGUACGUAAGGAAAUUUAUUUUGUUUUAAAAUAUCUAUGGGUUAUCAAAGUGCCUUUCACAGGAAGUUUCAAGGUAUUGUACGGAAGAAAGAGAUGACGAAAGUUCACCAGAUCGACCUGUGUCCGAAGUGAAUGUUGAUGUAUGUAAUUAAAUCCAUGUGAAGUGUAGAGUAGUUCUGAACGAUGGUUGGAAACUCUAUCAAAUUUGUCAGAAGCCUUCUAAUUUAAUGUGAACUCAAAUCGAUACUUCAUGGCGAGCAGUCGACUUGUGUAGUCUGUAAUAUGGCUUCUGAAUCUCCUGGAAUGUAUGGAAAAUUCAUGUAGCGUAUUCAUCCUUAACUGGAUCAGUACAAACGAAGUGGAAUGUGUGUAUGCUCUAAAUAAAGUGUCGAUGUUG